CGAGGGGAGUGAAAAAGAACCUGAAACCGUGUACGUACAAGCAGUGGGAGCACAGGUUUACCUGUGUGACUGCGUACCUUUUGUAUAAUGGGUCAGCGACUUAUAUUCUGUAGCAAGGUUAACCGUAUAGGGGAGCCGGAGGGAAACCGAGUCUUAACCGGGCGUUAAGUUGCAGGGUAUAGACCCGAAACCCGGUGAUCUAGCCAUGGGCAGGUUGAAGGUUGGGUAACACUAACUGGAGGACCGAACCGACUAAUGUUGAAAAAUUAGCGGAUGACCUGUGGCUGGGGGUGAAAGGCCAAUCAAACCGGGAGAUAGCUGGUUCUCCCCGAAAGCUAUUUAGGUAGCGCCUCGUGAACUCAUCUCCGGGGGUAGAGCACUGUUUCGGCUAGGGGGCCAUCCCGGCUUACCAACCCGAUGCAAACUGCGAAUACCGGAGAAUGUUAUCACGGGAGACACACGGCGGGUGCUAACGUCCGUCGUGAAGAGGGAAACAACCCAGACCGCCAGCUAAGGUCCCAAAGUCAUGGUUAAGUGGGAAACGAUGUGGGAAGGCCCAGACAGCCAGGAUGUUGGCUUAGAAGCAGCCAUCAUUUAAAGAAAGCGUAAUAGCUCACUGGUCGAGUCGGCCUGCGCGGAAGAUGUAACGGGGCUAAACCAUGCACCGAAGCUGCGGCAGCGACACUGUGUGUUGUUGGGUAGGGGAGCGUUCUGUAAGCCUGUGAAGGUGGCCUGUGAGGGUUGCUGGAGGUAUCAGAAGUGCGAAUGCUGACAUAAGUAACGAUAAAGCGGGUGAAAAGCCCGCUCGCCGGAAGACCAAGGGUUCCUGUCCAACGUUAAUCGGGGCAGGGUGAGUCGACCCCUAAGGCGAGGCCGAAAGGCGUAGUCGAUGGGAAACGGGUUAAUAUUCCCGUACUUGGUGUUACUGCGAAGGGGGGACGGAGAAGGCUAUGUUGGCCGGGCGACGGUUGUCCCGGUUUAAGCGUGUAGGUGUGUGUUCCAGGUAAAUCCGGUUCACUUUAACACUGAGGCGUGAUGACGAGGCACUACGGUGCUGAAGCAACAAAUGCCCUGCUUCCAGGAAAAGCCUCUAAGCAUCAGGUAACACGAAAUCGUACCCCAAACCGACACAGGUGGUCAGGUAGAGAAUACCAAGGCGCUUGAGAGAACUCGGGUGAAGGAACUAGGCAAAAUGGUGCCGUAACUUCGGGAGAAGGCACGCUGACACGUAGGUGAAGUGAUUUACUCAUGGAGCUGAAGUCAGUCGAAGAUACCAGCUGGCUGCAACUGUUUAUUAAAAACACAGCACUGUGCAAACACGAAAGUGGACGUAUACGGUGUGACGCCUGCCCGGUGCCGGAAGGUUAAUUGAUGGGGUCAGCGCAAGCGAAGCUCCUGAUCGAAGCCCCGGUAAACGGCGGCCGUAACUAUAACGGUCCUAAGGUAGCGAAAUUCCUUGUCGGGUAAGUUCCGACCUGCACGAAUGGCGUAAUGAUGGCCAGGCUGUCUCCACCCGAGACUCAGUGAAAUUGAACUCGCUGUGAAGAUGCAGUGUACCCGCGGCAAGACGGAAAGACCCCGUGAACCUUUACUAUAGCUUGACACUGAACAUUGAGCCUUGAUGUGUAGGAUAGGUGGGAGGCUUUGAAGUGUGGACGCCAGUCUGCAUGGAGCCGACCUUGAAAUACCACCCUUUAAUGUUUGAUGUUCUAACGUGGACCCGUUA
Molecule: ribosomal RNA, 1726 nt
Filed under: Salmonella enterica
Lineage: Bacteria; Pseudomonadati; Pseudomonadota; Gammaproteobacteria; Enterobacterales; Enterobacteriaceae
Description: partial 23S ribosomal RNA
Rfam family: Bacterial large subunit ribosomal RNA
Source: RNAcentral